Molecule: non-coding RNA, 526 nt
Organism: Coturnix japonica (Japanese quail)
Lineage: Eukaryota; Metazoa; Chordata; Aves; Galliformes; Phasianidae
Source: RefSeq, a predicted model, not a curated record
CAGUGAUAAAGACUUGUGGUCACAUUGCUAUAAGUGCUGAAAUCUAUUAUAGAACUGUGAGAAUAACAGGAUAUAGAAGAAGUAGUUAUCAUUAAAAUUGAGAACGUGUUAUUCCUGUUAGAGGAGCACUAGUGAACUUAUUAGAUACACUUGCUGCCUGUGGGAGAUAUCUUUCUUUUUUUCCCCUUCUCAUCGAAGGACAAAGGCUGGAAAAAAACACUGUUGGAGUGGUCAAACACUUUUAGAUGCCAGGUACUGAUAAACAGAAGGGUGUUUUCAUCAGAAGAAAAGUAGCUCGCCAACAAGUUGCAGGUGUCUUCUCUCCUCUGUGGGACAGGCAGUGUGGAUAGUUGGAAAGCCAAGGAAUGUUCUAGUGUGGAGUGAAACUCAUUGCUGAGAUAAAGAACAACAGCUGGAAGGGGAACAUGGUAAACAGUUCUGCAGAUGUGCUUCAGAGAAUCUCCUUCAUCCUGAUUUCUUACUACUUACUUUUUCCUCCGCCUGUGGUAAGACAAUGGAAUCAUUC